Molecule: ribosomal RNA, 468 nt
Filed under: uncultured bacterium
Lineage: Bacteria
Description: partial 16S ribosomal RNA
Rfam family: Bacterial small subunit ribosomal RNA
Source: RNAcentral
GACGAACGCUGGCGGCGUGCUUAACACAUGCAAGUCGAACGGAAAGGCCCGGCUUUUGUGGGGUGCUCGAGUGGCGAACGGGUGAGUAACACGUGAGUAACCUGCCCUUGACUUUGGGAUAACUUCAGGAGACUGGGGCUAAUACCGGAUAGGAGCUCCUGCUGCAUGGUGGGGGUUGGAAAGUUUCGGCGGUUGGGGAUGGACUCGCGGCUUAUCAGCUUGUUGGUGGGGUAGUGGCUUACCAAGGCUUUGACGGGUAGCCGGCCUGAGAGGGUGACCGGCCACAUUGGGACUGAGAUACGGCCCAGACUCCUACGGGAGGCAGCAGUGGGGAAUAUUGCACAAUGGGCGGAAGCCUGAUGCAGCAACGCCGCGUGCGGGAUGACGGCCUUCGGGUUGUAAACCGCUUUCGCCUGUGACGAAGCGUGAGUGACGGUAAUGGGUAAAGAAGCACCGGCUAACUACGUG